UGAAUUUUUUUUACUUAUCCUUGCUCUUGGAGUGUGUGGUUUCUUGUGAACUGCUAUGAAUUUGAUUUGAUUCUCAAUCACAUUUGAGAUUUUAACCUGUUGACUGUAUGGAACUUCAAUAAGAUUUUGAAUCAGCACAUGCUUUUUUACUGGUAUUUUAUCCAUGAAAAUCUUUCAUGCCCAGUCAAGUCAUGUUGCUGAUUUCUAUUUGAGUAUGCUUGUAAAAGGAAGUAAAACAAAAGAGUUGUCAUAUCUUGCUUUGCCUUCUGUAUCGAUUAUCCUCUAGCUGGUGCAUACUUGGAUUGACCUAUAAAAAAUGCUUUUGCAUCUGAUAGUUUAGCUUACCUUUUGCUACAGGGCUCCACAAAUGUUGGGAAAUCAGCUUUUAUCGGUGCUUAACUGAGUAAAACUGAUGGCGGAAAAGGAUCCAGUUGCUGCAUCAGCGCAAAAGUACAAACCAAUACAGUCUGCUGUCCCUGGAACGACCCUGGGUUCAAUUCAACUCAACGCUUUCCUAGGAGGAGGGAAAUUAUACGACACACCUGGAGUUCAUCUCCAUCAUAGGCAAGCCGCUGUGGUUCAUUCAGAAGACCUACCUUCCCUUGCUCCUCAAAGUCGGCUUAGGGGUCAAUCUUUGCCUAAUUCUCAGGUUUCUGGAAGUGGAACAACAAGGCAAGGCAAUUCCAAUGAUUUGAAUGGCUAUUUAAUAUUCUGGGGAGGUCUUCUCAGAGUAGAUGUCUUAAAGGUUCUCCCUGAGACAUGUUUAACAUUUUAUGGGCCAAAGAGUCUUCAGAUUCAUAUGGUACCAACUGAUGAGGCUGAUGAAUUUUACCAGAAACACGUUGGAGUCUUACUGACACCUCCAACUGGGAAAGAAAGAGCAGAUGAAUGGAGAGGUCUCGACUCUCAGCGUCAAUUGCAAAUAAAAGUUGAAGAUGUGCAAAGGCCAGCAUGUGAUGCGGCUAUAUCAGGCUUAGGUUGGACUAGUAUUGAACCUAUUUGCAGAUUAUUAAGAAGUUCUGAUUCAAAUGCAGAAAAAACUGCAGGGAACUGCAUUUAGCUGUGCAUGUUCCCAAGCUAGUCGAAAUAUUUGUUAGGUCUCCAAUCCCAGUGGGUAAGUCUGGAGCAGUGUGGUAUCAGUACCGGGAGUUGACCGAAAAGGAAGAGGAAGAAAGACCAAAAUGGCAUUAUUGAUUCUUGUGUAUGUAGAGAAAUAUGCAGUCAUUUAGUGUUGUAAAAGAGAAACUGAGGUGAGUAGAUAUUCAUACAUACAGACUAUAGAAACAUGUACAAUGCCGAGUGUACCAUGUUGUACUGAACCAGUCUGUCUAAGAAAAAGAAGUUUUGACUCUUCUAUAUCGUAGAAAUUGCUUCAGUUAAACACCAGUUUUACAAUAGGAACCAACUGCAGAGAUUUUUCUAAGAAAACAAGAAAUUGUUCGAAAUCAUGAUAUCCAUAU
Fragaria vesca subsp. vesca is the source of this 1460-nucleotide RNA transcript. It is a transcript of the gene named NO-associated protein 1, chloroplastic/mitochondrial-like, with no coding region annotated. The record is from RefSeq and is a predicted model, not a curated record. The transcript is spliced from 7 exons. NCBI's taxonomy places the organism in Eukaryota, Viridiplantae, Streptophyta, Magnoliopsida, Rosales, Rosaceae.